AUGCUUUAAAUUAUCGUGAUUUAAUGGCACCUGCCUUAUUCCAGGGCGCCGGCUCUGCUCUGCUGCUGGAAGCAGGCAGAGAGGCGGGUGCGGAUGCGGGCUGACCCCGGCUUCCCAGAAAUCCCCGGCUGCUCUGCUGUGCCUCUCUAUCUCCUGACUCCUAAACGAGCUCCUGCGGCACCGGUCACCCACUGCUCCAGAGGGAUUUCUUUGGAAAUGAGAUCUUCUCAAAUUCUGUGUGUGCUGUGCUUGGGAGGAAAGGGUUUUUCAGAUGCUGCCUCCAAUGGUAAUGGUGGGAAAGGACUCAAUAUUUCCCUUCUACCUCCUUGCAAUGGUGCUGAUAUA
This 345-nucleotide long non-coding RNA is filed under the name Chloebia gouldiae (Gouldian finch). RNAcentral's name for it is "Erythrura gouldiae (Gouldian finch) lncRNA (ENSEGOG00005002773.1)". Lineage: Eukaryota; Metazoa; Chordata; Aves; Passeriformes; Passeridae. The record is from RNAcentral.